RNAcentral lists this ribosomal RNA (446 nucleotides) under uncultured bacterium. RNAcentral describes it as "SSU rRNA". It matches the Rfam family "Bacterial small subunit ribosomal RNA", at positions 26 to 518 of the family's 1533-position model. The record is from RNAcentral.
AGAACGAACGCUGGCGGCAGGCUUAACACAUGCAAGUCGAACGCACCUUUCGGGGUGAGUGGCAGACGGGUGAGUAACACGUGGGAACGUACCCUUUGGUUCGGAAUAACCCUGGGAAACUAGGGCUAAGACCGGAUACGGCCGUGAGGCGAAAGGUUUACCGCCGAAGGAUCGGCCCGCGUCCGAUUAGCUAGUUGGUGGGGUAAUGGCUCACCAAGGCUUCGAUCGGUAGCUGGUCUGAGAGGAUGACCAGCCACAUUGGGACUGAGACACGGCCCAAACUCCUACGGGAGGCAGCAGUGGGGAAUAUUGGACAAUGGGCGCAAGCCUGAUCCAGCCAUGCCGCGUGAGUGAUGAAGGCCUUAGGGUUGUAAAGCUCUUUUACCUGGGAAGAUCAUGACGGUACCAGGAGAAUAAAGCCCGGCUAACUUCGCGCCAGCAGCCGC